This 469-nucleotide ribosomal RNA is filed under the name uncultured bacterium. RNAcentral's name for it is "bacterial SSU rRNA". It matches the Rfam family "Bacterial small subunit ribosomal RNA", at positions 26 to 518 of the family's 1533-position model. The record is from RNAcentral.
AGGACGAACGCUGGCGGCGUGCUCAUACAUGCAAGUCGAACGAGAAAUCUACUCGGUAGAUGGAAAGUGGCGGACGGGUGAGUAAUAUGUAGAGAAUCUGCCCUAGAGAGGGGGACAACCGUUGGAAACGACGGCUAAUACCCCAUAUGAGCGUACCUGAAAUGGUAUUCUUGAAAACUCCGGUGCUCUGGGAUGAGUCUGCAUCUGAUUAGCUAGUUGGGGGUGUAAUGGACCACCAAGGCGACGAUCAGUAGCUGGUUUGAGAGGAUGAUCAGCCACAAUGGGACUGAGACACGGCCCAUACUCCUACGGGAGGCAGCAGUAGGGAAUUUUGCGCAAUGGGCGAAAGCCUGACGCAGCCAACGCCGCGUGAUCGAGACGCUUUUCGGAGUGUAAAGAUCUGUCACAGGGGACGAACGAUGACGGUACCCUGAGAGGAAGCACCGGCUAACUCCGUGCCAGCCGCAGC